AGAACAGAGCAGUUUGAAUGUAUACCAGGUGGCUUCUUUUGUGGUGUUCCCUUAUGAAUAUUUACAUUGAAAUAUUGAUCCUAAGAACAUGAGACAGUAGUACCUUAUGUGACAUCUGUGUCUUCUGUUUCCCAGGUGUUGCACAGAAAGAUGGAAAGUUGUCUCCUUUCAGGAAGUGUAGUAAAGAAUAUCAGAAGAGAAUUUUGAAUGCCUUUCCAAUCUGCAUUUCCAAAUCUGCUGGAUCAGUGAUCAUUCAUCAGGACCGUGCUGGUGGCUUGGGCAGGUUUGUGAGAUCCUGUCCUAUGACAAGUCUUUGUGGAUGGCUCUGGGUAGCAUCUCCCAUGCCUGAUGUCACCUGGCUGUGCUGGAUGGGAUGCUCUCUUUUAUUUACUCUCACUUCCCAGCUUUUAAAAUAAUUAUCAUCUUUAUUUCAGCCGUUAAUUUUCUGUAGGAGACCAUUGCACAUGUAGACUAUCAGAUAGAAGAGGCUCAAAACAUUUCCCCUAUUUAGAUAAGUAUUUACCACAGCAAACAGAGAUAUUUAUAGGUGGAAACUCUGUGGCUCAGCCUUCUGGUG
Molecule: long non-coding RNA, 577 nt
Filed under: Falco tinnunculus (common kestrel)
Lineage: Eukaryota; Metazoa; Chordata; Aves; Falconiformes; Falconidae
Description: lncRNA (ENSFTIG00000005450.1)
Source: RNAcentral